GGGGCUGAUUCUGGAUUCGACGGGAUUUGCGAAACCCAAGGAGCAUGCCGAGGGGCGGUUGGCCUCGUAAAAAGCCGCAAAAAAUAGUCGCAAACGACGAAAACUACGCUUUAGCAGCUUAAUAACCUGCUUAGAGCCCUCUCUCCCUAGCCUCCGCUCUUAGGACGGGGAUCAAGAGAGGUCAAACCCAAAAGAGAUCGCGUGGAAGCCCUGCCUGGGGUUGAAGCGUUAAAACUUAAUCAGGCUAGUUUGUUAGUGGCGUGUCCGUCCGCAGCUGGCAAGCGAAUGUAAAGACUGACUAAGCAUGUAGUACCGAGGAUGUAGGAAUUUCGGACGCGGGUUCAACUCCCGCCAGCUCCACCA
Molecule: transfer-messenger RNA, 363 nt
Filed under: Escherichia coli
Lineage: Bacteria; Pseudomonadati; Pseudomonadota; Gammaproteobacteria; Enterobacterales; Enterobacteriaceae
Rfam family: transfer-messenger RNA
About the family: Bacterial tmRNA, also known as 10Sa RNA or SsrA, is named for its dual tRNA and mRNA-like properties. Its role is to liberate the mRNA from a stalled ribosome. To accomplish this part of the tmRNA is used as a reading frame that ends in a translation stop signal.
Source: RNAcentral